UGGCUGAAUCCAUAGGCCAGCGGAGGCGAACCCGGCGAACUGAAACAUCUAAGUAGCCGGAGGAAAAGAAAUCAACCGAGAUUCCGCAAGUAGUGGCGAGCGAACGCGGAAGAGCCUGUACGUGAUAGCAGUCGUGUUAGAAGAACGGUCUGGAAAGGCCGGCCAUAGUGGGUGAUAGCCCCGUAUUCGAAAACACAAUUGUGGUACUGAGCGUACGAGAAGUAGGGCGGGACACGUGAAAUCCUGUCUGAAGAUGGGGGGACCAUCCUCCAAGGCUAAAUACUCAUGAUCGACCGAUAGUGAACCAGUACCGUGAGGGAAAGGCGAAAAGAACCCCGGGAGGGGAGUGAAACAGAACCUGAAACCGGAUGCAUACAAACAGUGGGAGCCUGGAAACGGGUGACUGCGUACCUUUUGUAUAAUGGGUCAGCGACUUACAUUCAGUAGCGAGCUUAACCAGAUAGGGGAGGCGUAGCGAAAGCGAGUCCGAACAGGGCGUUGAGUUGCUGGGUGUAGACCCGAAACCGGAUGAUCUAUCCAUGGCCAGGAUGAAGGUGCGGUAACACGCACUGGAGGUCCGAACCCACGUCUGUUGCAAAAGACGGGGAUGAGCUGUGGAUAGGGGUGAAAGGCUAAACAAAUCCGGAAAUAGCUGGUUCUCUCCGAAAACUAUUUAGGUAGUGCCUCGAGAUUACACUGACGGGGGUAGAGCACUGUUAUGGCUAGGGGGUCAUUGCGAUUUACCAACCCAUGGCAAACUCCGAAUACCGUCAAGUGCGUCCUCGGGAGACAGACAGCGGGUGCUAACGUCCGUUGUCAAGAGGGAAACAACCCAGACCGCCAGCUAAGGUCCCAAAUGACAUGCUAAGUGGUAAACGAAGUGGGAAGGCCAAGACAGCCAGGAUGUUGGCUUAGAAGCAGCCAUCAUUCAAAGAAAGCGUAAUAGCUCACUGGUCGAGUCGUCCUGCGCGGAAGAUGUAACGGGGCUCAAGCAUGUAACCGAAGCUGCGGAUGCGUACUUGUACGCAUGGUAGGAGAGCGUUCUGUAGGCCUGCGAAGGUGGUGGUGUAAACCCUGCUGGAGGUAUCAGAAGUGCGAAUGCUGACAUGAGUAGCGAUAAAGCGGGUGAAAGUCCCGCUCGCCGAAAACCCAAGGUUUCCUACGCAACGUUCAUCGGCGUAGGGUGAGUCGGCCCCUAAGGCGAGGCAGAAAUGCGUAGUCGAUGGGAAACGGGUCAAGAUUCCCGUACCGGUUGUGAAUGCGAUGGGGGGACGGAGAAGGGUAGCUCAGCGGCCUGUUGGAAUAGGUCGUUUAAGCGUGUAGGAGUGGUCUCCUGGCAAAUCCGGAGAUCUUAUCUGAGGCGUGAUGACGAGGGUCUACGGACCUGAAGUGAGUAAUCCCAAGCUUCCAGGAAAAGCCUCUAAGCUUCAGUUCACAACUGACCGUACCGCAAACCGACACAGGUGGGUAGGUAGAGAAUACCAAGGCGCUUGAGAGAACUCGGGUUAAGGAACUCGGCAAAUUGACACCGUAACUUCGGGAGAAGGUGUGCCCCGGUAGCGUGUAGGACUUCGCGUCCGAAGCGUGAUGGGGUCGCAGAGAAUAGGUGGCUGCGACUGUUUAAUAAAAACACAGCUCUGUGCCAACACGAAAGUGGACGUAUACGGAGUGACGCCUGCCCGGUGCCGGAAGGUUAAGUGAUGGGGUGCAAGCUCUUGAUCGAAGCCCCGGUAAACGGCGGCCGUAACUAUAACGGUCCUAAGGUAGCGAAAUUCCUUGUCGGGUAAGUUCCGACCCGCACGAAUGGCGUAACGAUGGCCACACUGUCUCAACCCGAGACUCAGCGAAGUUGAAAUGUUUGUGAAGAUGCAAUCUCCCCGCUGCUAGACGGAAAGACCCCGUGAACCUUUACUGUAGCUUUGCAUUGGACUUUGAACAGGCUUGUGUAGGAUAGGUGGGAGGCUUUGAAGCUGAGACGC
RNAcentral lists this ribosomal RNA (1979 nucleotides) under Laribacter hongkongensis. RNAcentral's name for it is "partial 23S ribosomal RNA". It matches the Rfam family "Bacterial large subunit ribosomal RNA", at positions 155 to 2171 of the family's 2925-position model. The record is from RNAcentral. Lineage: Bacteria; Pseudomonadati; Pseudomonadota; Betaproteobacteria; Neisseriales; Aquaspirillaceae.